CCUACGGGUGGCUGCAGUGGGGAAUAUUGGACAAUGGGCGAAAGCCUGAUCCAGCCAUGCCGCGUGUAUGAAGAAGGCCUUCGGGUUGUAAAGCACUUUCAGUGGGGAAGAAAGCCUUGGGGCUAAUACCCUCGAGGAAGGACAUCACCCACAGAAGAAGCACCGGCUAACUCCGUGCCAGCAGCCGCGGUAAUACGGAGGGUGCGAGCGUUAAUCGGAAUUACUGGGCGUAAAGCGCGCGUAGGCGGUCUGAUAAGCCGGUUGUGAAAGCCCCGGGCUCAACCUGGGAACGGCAUCCGGAACUGUCAGGCUAGAGUGCAGGAGAGGAAGGUAGAAUUCCCGGUGUAGCGGUGAAAUGCGUAGAGAUCGGGAGGAAUACCAGUGGCGAAGGCGGCCUUCUGGACUGACACUGACGCUGAGGUGCGAAAGCGUGGGUAGCAAACAGGAUUAGAUACCCCGGUAGUC
This 465-nucleotide ribosomal RNA is filed under the name Vreelandella stevensii. Its description in RNAcentral is "partial 16S ribosomal RNA". It matches the Rfam family "Bacterial small subunit ribosomal RNA", at positions 338 to 795 of the family's 1533-position model. Lineage: Bacteria; Pseudomonadati; Pseudomonadota; Gammaproteobacteria; Oceanospirillales; Halomonadaceae. The record is from RNAcentral.